Molecule: small nuclear RNA, 151 nt
Organism: Cricetulus griseus (Chinese hamster)
Lineage: Eukaryota; Metazoa; Chordata; Mammalia; Rodentia; Cricetidae
Gene: U1
Rfam family: U1 spliceosomal RNA
About the family: U1 is a small nuclear RNA (snRNA) component of the spliceosome (involved in pre-mRNA splicing). Its 5' end forms complementary base pairs with the 5' splice junction, thus defining the 5' donor site of an intron. There are significant differences in sequence and secondary structure between metazoan and yeast U1 snRNAs, the latter being much longer (568 nucleotides as compared to 164 nucleotides in human).
Source: Ensembl
AUACUUACCUGCAGAAGAGAUAUGAUCAUGUAGGUGUUUUUCGCAGGCCAAGACUUAACUAUUGCACUCCAGGAUGUGCUGACAUCUGGUUAAUAUGGGAAACUCAACUCCAUAAUUUGUGGUAGAGGAGAGACUGCAUUCAAGGUUUCCA